Molecule: long non-coding RNA, 850 nt
Organism: Quercus lobata
Lineage: Eukaryota; Viridiplantae; Streptophyta; Magnoliopsida; Fagales; Fagaceae
Exons: 3
Source: RefSeq, a predicted model, not a curated record
ACCUCAUAUCUCACCCUCUUGGCCGGUCACCUCUCUAUUCAUUUGCUUCUUUCUUUUUCUCAACAACACAUACACUCCUCUUCUCCACUCUCCCACCAGUACACUCCAAAGCACCACCUCCACCAUUAUUUUUCCGGCAAGGAUCACUAGAAAACUUCAUAGGAAAAACUAAUGCUCACUCAUCUCUACUUUUUGAGGUUCUAGCUAAUCUUAUUUGGAGAUUGGAAAAUUAGGCUUUUGCGAGUUGCAAGAGUAGGCAACUAUCGUUUUGAGACAGCUUUUUGGUGGCUAGCAAUAGUUAGACAAAUUGCUAAUGGAGGCUGACUUUUGUGAUGGAGAUAAUUGAUGAUGUAUAACUUAAGAGUAGGCUUGACUCAAUUCUUUUGUAUCUAAUAGUGGUUAUGACUUUAUUUCCACUAAUGGGAUAAGUUGAUGAUAUGUAACUAUUUAUUCAGGCCUCCAUUCUUUUGUGGCCAAGGGUUAUUGUAUUUAUUGCAUAGAGCUCUGACUUACUUUGGAAGUAUAUUUAAUGAAACUAGUCACUAACCCGUGCAAUGCACGGAUUAGUUGAACAAAAAUUUUAAAUUUGCUUAAAGUUAGUGGAAGGACCGGAUUUGAGUCCCUGGCCCAAAAGAUAGAUAGACCUAGGCCCAAAAAGUCCAAAACAAUGAAUUUGUAGAGAGUGGGUCGGAAAACUGGGUAAAAAUGAGUUGGAUCACAAAUAAAGUGGGCUCAAUAGACAAGAACAGAGAAAUGGAUUGAAUUAAAUUAGAGAAUAUCGUCCUCGGCACAAUCUGAGGAGAUCAGUUCUUAUAUAUUCCUUACAAGUUUGGUUACAGAGUCGGUUCUU